Small nuclear RNA from Ochotona curzoniae (black-lipped pika), 191 nucleotides. RefSeq annotates it as U2 spliceosomal RNA. Lineage: Eukaryota; Metazoa; Chordata; Mammalia; Lagomorpha; Ochotonidae. The transcript has a single exon. The record is from RefSeq and is a predicted model, not a curated record.
AUUGCUUCCUGGCCUUUUGGCUAAGAUCAUGUGUAGUAUCUGUUGUUUUCAGUUUAGUAUCUGAUACGUCCUCUACCCAAGGACCACAUAUUAUAUGGAUUUUUGGAGCUCGGAGUCGGAAUAGGAGCUUGUUCAUCUACUUCACACAUCGACAUGGAAUUUUAGUACUUUCAGAAAAAAUUGUUUAUUGU